UACGUAGGGUGCAAGCAUUAAUCGGAAUUAUUGGGCGUAAAGGGCGCGUAGGCGGAUUGAUAAGUCAGAUGUGAAAUACCAAAGCUCAACUUUGGUGCUGCAUUUGAAACUGUCUCUCUAGAGGAUUGACGGAGAAAGCGGAAUUCCACGUGUAGCGGUGAAAUGCGUAGAUACGUGGAGGAACACCGGUGGCGAAAGCGGCUUUCUAGUUUAGACCUGACGCUGAGGCGCGAGAGCAAGGGGAGCAAACAGG
RNAcentral lists this ribosomal RNA (253 nucleotides) under uncultured bacterium. RNAcentral describes it as "partial 16S ribosomal RNA". It matches the Rfam family "Bacterial small subunit ribosomal RNA", at positions 524 to 776 of the family's 1533-position model. The record is from RNAcentral.